ACAUAGGGGAAAAGAGGUAUAAGAGGUGGGCUGAUAGGGGCAGGAAGAGGAGGAGGCAAGAGGAAUGGAGAGACCAGAUAGCAGCAGAGGCAGCUGUGAAACCCACUGGCAAAAGAAGCACCUCGUCCUCCUCUACCGCCUGGUCCAUACGGAGGACAACAGCCUUCUACUGCUACCAGUGACUCACGUGCUAGAGAUCUCUGCUGUGGAUCUACACGUCCAGCUCUGCUAAAGACCCCAGGUGGAUCAUCACUGUGGAUCUACAUGACAGAAUCUCUGGUCUUAUUUCCCCCUGGUUUUCAGGAUGAGAUGGAUUGAAGAAAGAUCACCGCACCCUGAAUCAAUAUACUUCCGGCAUCUUUUUUACUUUGCUUCUGAUGAGAAAAGGCUGACACGAUCCAGCGCUUGCUGUCGAGUCAACAUUAAAGGCUGAUUUUACCUGCAAUGCCGGAUUGUGGUUGCGUGGGAGCUUCCAAGCUAAGCACAGCCAGUCGGGAUCUUCAUUUAGGCUGGGGG
Molecule: long non-coding RNA, 516 nt
Organism: Alligator mississippiensis (American alligator)
Lineage: Eukaryota; Metazoa; Chordata; Crocodylia; Alligatoridae
Exons: 4
Source: RefSeq, a predicted model, not a curated record